UCGGAAGGGAAAAUACCCGUGCCCGAAGGCCCACCCCAGCCGGCAGCGGACCCCAAAUCAAGCGUACAAAGACUGAGGACCAGAGAAGUGAGGUGGCCUCUCUAAGGGCUCAGAGGCAAGAAGCGUUGACGCCAAGAAGCAGGGCAGGAGGGGGCUUCCGCAGACUGGCCAGCGGGGAACCCAGUCGCGCCUCUGCCCGCAGGCUGUAGGCUGUCCCGGAACAGACCCACCAGGACAUCCGAAGAGGCAGGUGCCUGGCCCUGGGCCUGACCUGAAGAGGCUCUGCCCUGGGCAGAGGUGCCCCCGCCCACCCCAGGCUGCAGACUACUCCAGCCCAGACCUCCUGCUCACCAGCACCAGCACCAGCACUGACUCUGCAGGCUGAUGGCGCUUUCCUUCCUCCCAGCCCAGGGAGCUGUCCAAAGGCUGAAAUGCAAGGGCCCUCGGAGUGGUCCGGAAGCCCUCCAGGAACCCGCGGCUGCCUCCAGGAAAGCCCAGCCCCCUCACCAUGGAUGGCCUCCAGGCACCCGCGGAACUUCACUUCUAACGAGAGCACUGUGUGCCUGCCACACCAGAGAAACCCGAGUCUGUCCCUACUUGGGGCCUCUGACCUUGCCGACACCUCCCCUAGAACGCUGUUCCCCAUCUCGUCCCUUUCCUCUGACCCUUUAGGACUUAGCUCAAAGGCCGCCUCCUUCCAGAAGCCCUCCCUCAGCCACCCUCCACUCCAGUUAUUGUUCAGUCACUAAGUAGUGUCCGACUCUGCAAUCCCAUGGACUGCAGCAUGCCAGGCUUCCCUGUCCAUCACUGUCUCCCGGCGUUUGCUCAGACUCACGUCCCUUGAGUCAGUGGCCAGUUUUGUUUUCUUUGUAGCGCUCUCUGGAACUCAGGCACUGUCACCUUGCCUUACUGUUUCCCCCUCUGAAAUGCAAGCUCUCUGAAAGCAGGUGCUUUUUUGGUCUUCUCUUCUGCAGUAUGCCCUUCUGAAAGGGACACACCAUGUGCUUAGAUCCUAUUUGUUGAAUGGAUGGAUCCUUCCAGGCUCCCACAGCCCACAGAAUGAAAUCCAGGGCUGGCUUUCCAAGCUCAAGUGGACAUGGGCCUCUGCCAAUCUCCACGGGCAAAUUGCCUUCAGAGCUCACCUUCUUCCUCUGGGUUCGGCAACUUGGGGUUCCCUAUGUACCCAUCCUCCGAGCUUCCUGUGUUUGCUGGGCAAGUUCUACUGGCCUCUAUAGCCUCGGCUCAAAUCUCUCCUCUCUGGAAGCUGUCUCUGACUUCACAGGAGGCCUAUUUAAUAGUGAUGGCCUGUCUUCCCAUAGUUCAGGCAUCUUGGGCUUAGCACUAAUCGUACUGCAUUGAAAUUACUUCCCAAUGAGGCUGCCCUCACAGUGCAGGGCUGGAGGGCAGGGUGGGGUUUCAUUCAUUUUUGUAGAAUGGAGUCCAGCACUGGUCUGCAGAUAAGCCCCGUUGAAUGAGGACAUCUGCCCUGUAGACUGACACUUUAUAGAGCUGGAUGUACACACUAGCGCUUCCCAGGUGGCGCUAGUGGUAAAGAACCCGCCUGCCAGUGCAGGAGACAUAAGAGAUGCGGGUUUGAUCCCUGGGGCAGAAAGAUACCCUGGAGAAGGAAAUGGCAACCCACUCCAGCAUUCUUGCCUGAAGAAUCUCAUGGACAGAGGAGCCUGGCAGGCUACAGUCCAUGGGGUCACAAAGAGUUGGACACUACUGAAGCAACUUAGCAUGCAAGCACUGAUCUGGGAGUUAAACAUUUGAAAGCGUGGAAACUGGUUUUUCCAUUCACUUGCUGUAUGACCCUGGGCAGGUGAUUUCACCUCUCUCAGCCUCUGAGGAUCCUUAUCUUUGAAAUGAGGGCAGUAACAUGGGCUGAUCAGUGGUAAAGAAUUCACCUGUCAAAGCAGGAGAUGCACGAGACCCAAGUUUGGAUCCCUGGGUCAGGAAGAUCCCCUGGAGAAGGAAAUGGCAAACCACUCCAGUAUUCUUCCCUGGGAAAUCCCAUGGACACAGGAGCCUGGCGGGUUACAGUCCGUGGGACAGGAGAGUCAGACACGACUGAGUAUGCACACAACGUGGGCUGACAGGAACUUCAUUAAUCUUUUUUCUUUUGUUUUUAAUGGUUCCUUGUGCAAUACAGUAGGGCCCUGUUAUGGUUAAUCUUAAAUAUAAUACUGACUACCAUGCACAAGGAGUUCAAAAAGUUCACAAAGGGUUUAUCACACCGAAGUUUGAAAUAGAGAAAAUCAGAAAUAACACAGAAUGCUACCAUAGGACAGUAGCUAAAUUAAGUGUAGCAUAUUCAUACUCAGGAACAGUACAUGAUCAUGAGAGAUGAUGGAACUGAUCUAUGAAUAUGGACAUGGAAAGUUCUCCAAGACUCUGCUGAAUGCAAAGGCAAGCUGCAGAAUGAUUUACACAACUUAAUAUUAUUGAGGUAAAACACAUACCAAAACCUCUAUGUAUUUUCUAUGAGUGUGCAGGUAUUGACAAAUGCAGAGAAAAGGCCCAAAGGGUAACUAAUCAGCUAAUGACAACUACCUCUGGUGAGUGGACCAGAAGUGGGAAAGUGCAUGUGUGUGUGUGUGCAUGUGUGCAUGCUCAGUUGUGUCUGACUCUUUACAA
Molecule: long non-coding RNA, 2637 nt
Organism: Dama dama (fallow deer)
Lineage: Eukaryota; Metazoa; Chordata; Mammalia; Artiodactyla; Cervidae
Exons: 3
Source: RefSeq, a predicted model, not a curated record